This 505-nucleotide ribosomal RNA is filed under the name uncultured bacterium. RNAcentral describes it as "partial 16S ribosomal RNA". It matches the Rfam family "Bacterial small subunit ribosomal RNA", at positions 28 to 507 of the family's 1533-position model. The record is from RNAcentral.
GACGGACGCUGGCGGCGUGCCUAAUACAUGCAAGUAGAACGCACAGUUUAUACCGUAGCUUGCUACACCAUAGACUGUGAGUUGCGAACGGGUGAGUAACGCGUAGGUAACCUGCCUGGUAGCGGGGGAUAACUAUUGGAAACGAUAGCUAAUACCGCAUAAUAUUAAUUAUUGCAUGAUAAUUAAUUGAAAGGUGCAAUUGCACCACUACCAGAUGGACCUGCGUUGUAUUAGCUAGUAGGUGAGGUAACGGCUCACCUAGGCGACGAUACAUAGCCGACCUGAGAGGGUGAUCGGCCACACUGGGACUGAGACACGGCCCAGACUCCCACGGGAGGCAGCAGUAGGGAAUCUUCGGCAAUGGACGAAAGUCUGACCGAGCAACGCCGCGUGAGUGAAGAAGGUUUUCGGAUCGUAAAGCUCUGUUGUAAGAGAAGAACGGGUGUGAGAGUGGAAAGUUCACACUGUGACGGUAUCUUACCAGAAAGGGACGGCUAACUACGUG